Molecule: ribosomal RNA, 253 nt
Filed under: uncultured bacterium
Lineage: Bacteria
Description: partial 16S ribosomal RNA
Rfam family: Bacterial small subunit ribosomal RNA
Source: RNAcentral
UACGAAGGGGGCUAGCGUUGUUCGGAAUCACUGGGCGUAAAGCGCACGUAGGCGGAUCUUUAAGUCAGGGGUGAAAUCCCGAGGCUCAACCCCGGAACUGCCUUUGAUACUGGGGAUCUCGAGUCCGGGAGAGGUGAGUGGAACUGCGAGUGUAGAGGUGAAAUUCGUAGAUAUUCGCAAGAACACCAGUGGCGAAGGCGGCUCACUGGCCCGGAACUGACGCUGAGGUGCGAAAGCGUGGGGAGCAAACAGG